Molecule: long non-coding RNA, 315 nt
Filed under: Manihot esculenta (cassava)
Lineage: Eukaryota; Viridiplantae; Streptophyta; Magnoliopsida; Malpighiales; Euphorbiaceae
Description: long non-coding RNA (MESC_LNC004200)
Source: RNAcentral
AAAAAGAAAAAGGGGAUUGUCUUCUUUCUUCCUCCACCAUUGCCGUAGCUCACCCAUUGAAAAAAACCAAAGCUUUGUUUUGUCUUCCUUCCACCAAAGCCAAGCCAAACUCCACCAAAGCCAAGCUAAACCUCACCAAAACAACUUCUUCCUUUAACCAAAAUCUAUCCUAAGAUCAAGAGCUAAAGGAACAGCCAUAUAGUGAAAGAAUUGAAGAAGAAAGGUUUAGGGUUCCAUAUACACCAAGCUUGAAAAUCCAAGGUAAGCUUAGAAAGGUGAAGGAAAUAACAUCUUCUCAUUUCUUCAUGCAUGNNN